Pelobates cultripes (western spadefoot toad) is the source of this 487-nucleotide non-coding RNA. NCBI's taxonomy places the organism in Eukaryota, Metazoa, Chordata, Amphibia, Anura, Pelobatidae. The record is from the annotation of a GenBank genome assembly.
UUUCUUUUGUUCUUCACCCAGUUCUCUGAAUGAAGGAGCUGUCUUGAUGGGUGAGGGCUGUAAAAUUGGGACUUCUUGUACAUUGGCAUGUGAAAGUGUAUCAUAUGUCACUAACCCAGUAAGGAGUUUGGUCAGUUCCUUCACUUCACCUGCUUGGAUCCCUCCUCUUUCCUGCAGGUACCACUUCCAUUUUAAUAAUGUCUGACUUUGUGCCACUGUUGUCUUUGCAGAUAAUCCUUCAUCUCGUACCCAUCCUGCUAUUGGUAAAUCUGUUUUCACUGAUACUAUGCUUUUCUCAGUCAUUGUCUCCACAUGCUGCAGUGCGAGGUAUGCUGCCAGAAGAUUCUUCUCUAAAGGUGUGUACCUUUGCUGAGCCCCAGUCAAUUGCUUGGACCAAAACCCAAUUGGUACUGCCCGCUUGCCUUUGUCUUCGCUCGGUUGCCAUAGUCCCCAUGAUGCUACGUUGUCGUUCACCAUCACAUCCAAU